RNAcentral lists this ribosomal RNA (676 nucleotides) under uncultured bacterium. Its description in RNAcentral is "bacterial SSU rRNA". It matches the Rfam family "Bacterial small subunit ribosomal RNA", at positions 61 to 767 of the family's 1533-position model. The record is from RNAcentral.
GUCGCACGAGAAAGUGGAGCAAUCCAUGAGUAAAGUGGCGUACGGGUGAGUAACACGUGAAUCAUCUACCUUCGAGUGUGGAAUAACUGAGAGAAAUCUUAGCUAAUACCGCAUAAUACCUACGGGUCAAAGCAGCAAUGCGCUUGAAGAGGAGUUCGCGGCAGAUUAGUUAGUUGGCGGGGUAAUGGCCCACCAAGACGAUGAUCUGUAUCCGGCCUGAGAGGGCGCACGGACACACUGGAACUGAAACACGGUCCAGACUCCUACGGGAGGCAGCAGUGGGGAAUUUUGCGCAAUGGGGGAAACCCUGACGCAGCAACGCCGCGUGGAGGAUGAAAUCCCUUGGGAUGUAAACUCCUUUCGAUAGGGAAGAAUUAUGACGGUACCUAUAGAAGAAGCCCCGGCUAACUUCGUGCCAGCAGCCGCGGUAAUACGAGGGGGGCAAGCGUUGUUCGGAAUUAUUGGGCGUAAAGGGUGCGUAGGCGGUUUGACAAGUCUUGUGUGAAAUCUAUGGGCUCAACCCAUAGUCUGCAUAGGAAACUGUCGGGCUUGAGUAUGGGAGAGGUGAAGUGGAAUUUCCGGUGUAGCGGUGAAAUGCGUAGAUAUCGGAAGGAACACCUGUGGCGAAAGCGGCUCACUGGACCAUAACUGACGCUGAUGCACGAAAGCUAGGGGA